AAGAAAGUGGCAGAGCGGUUAUGUGGUCGGCUUGAAACCGACCUAUGGGGGUUCGACUCCUCCCUUUCUG
Molecule: transfer RNA, 70 nt
Filed under: Sebastes schlegelii (Schlegel's black rockfish)
Lineage: Eukaryota; Metazoa; Chordata; Actinopteri; Perciformes; Sebastidae
Description: tRNA-Ser
Rfam family: tRNA
About the family: Transfer RNA (tRNA) molecules are approximately 80 nucleotides in length.
Source: RNAcentral